AUUGAACGCUGGCGGAAUGCUUUACACAUGCAAGUCGAACGGUAGAGGGGGCAACCCCUCGAGAGUGGCGAACGGGUGAGUAAUAUAUCGGAACGUGCCCAGUCGUGGGGGAUAACGUAGCGAAAGUUACGCUAAUACCGCAUACGACCUAAGGAUGAAAGCGGGGGAUUGCAAGACCUCGCGCGAUUGGAGCGGCCGAUAUCAGAUUAGGUAGUGGGUGGGGUAAAGGCUCACCAAGCCAACGAUCUGUAGCUGGUCUGAGAGGACGACCAGCCACACUGGACCUGAGACACGGUCCAGACUCCUACGGGAGGCAGCAGUGGGGAAUUUUGGACAAUGGACGAAAGUCUGAUCCAGCCAUUCCGCGUGCAGGAUGAAGGCCCUCGGGUUGUAAACUGCUUUUGUACGGAACGAAAAGGUCUCUCUUAAUACGGGGGGCUUAUGACGGUACCGUAAGAAUAAGCACCGGCUAACUACGUGCCAGCCGCCGCCGUAA
RNAcentral lists this ribosomal RNA (496 nucleotides) under uncultured bacterium. Its description in RNAcentral is "partial 16S ribosomal RNA". It matches the Rfam family "Bacterial small subunit ribosomal RNA", at positions 30 to 523 of the family's 1533-position model. The record is from RNAcentral.